Molecule: ribosomal RNA, 482 nt
Filed under: uncultured bacterium
Lineage: Bacteria
Description: partial 16S ribosomal RNA
Rfam family: Bacterial small subunit ribosomal RNA
Source: RNAcentral
AUUGAACGCUGGCGGCAUGCCUUACACAUGCAAGUCGAACGGUAACGGGCCUUCGGGUGCCGACGAGUGGCGAACGGGUGAGUAAUACAUCGGAACGUGCCCGAUCGUGGGGGAUAACGAGGCGAAAGCUUUGCUAAUACCGCAUACGAUCUACGGAUGAAAGCAGGGGACCGCAAGGCCUUGCGCGGACGGAGCGGCCGAUGGCAGAUUGGGUAGUUGGUGGGAUAAAAGCUUACCAAGCCGACGAUCUGUAGCUGGUCUGAGAGGAUGAUCAGCCACACUGGGACUGAGACACGGCCCAGACUCCUACGGGAGGCAGCAGUGGGGAAUUUUGGAUAAUGGGCGCAAGCCUGAUCCAGCCAUGCCGCGUGCAGGAUGAAGGCCUUCGGGUUGUAAACUGCUUUUGUACGGAACGAAAAGCCUUCUUUUAAUACAGGAGGGUCAUGACGGUACCGUAAGAAUAAGCACCGGCUAACUACGUG